RNAcentral lists this ribosomal RNA (230 nucleotides) under uncultured soil bacterium. Its description in RNAcentral is "partial 16S ribosomal RNA". It matches the Rfam family "Bacterial small subunit ribosomal RNA", at positions 26 to 257 of the family's 1533-position model. The record is from RNAcentral.
AGAUUGAACGCUGGCGGCAUGCCUUACACAUGCAAGUCGAACGGCAGCACGGGAGCAAUCCUGGUGGCGAGUGGCAAACGGGUGAGUAAUACAUCGGAACGUGCCCAAUCGUGGGGGAUAACGCAGCGAAAGCUGUGCUAAUACCGCAUAAGAUCUACGGAUGAAAGCAGGGGAUCGACAAGACCUUGCGCGAAUGGAGCGGCCGAUGGCAGAUUAGGUAGUUGGUGAGG